CUAAGUAUAAUAGUAUACAGUGAACUGCGAAUGGCUACAUUAAACAGUUAUUAGUUAUUGAUAAUUGAAUUCUACAUGGUAAUAACCGUAGUAAUUCUAGAGCUAAUACAUGCUGUAAAACCUGACUUUUCGGAAAGGUUGUAUUUAUUAGAUAUCAAACCAAUAAUCUUUCGGGAUUAUUGUGAUGAUUCAUAAUAACUGAUCGGAUCAAGGUGUACCUUGAUAGAUCAUUCAAGUUUCUGCCCUAUCAGCUUUCGAUGGUAGUGUAUUGGACUACCAUGGCAGUCACGGGUAACGGAGAAUUAGGGUUCGAUUCCGGAGAGGGAGCCUGAGAAACGGCUACCACAUCUACGGAAGGCAGCAGGCGCGUAAAUUACCCCAAUCCUGAUUCAGGGAGGUAGUGACAAGAAAUAACAACUCGGGGCCUCACGGCUUACGAGAUUGCAAUGAGAACAAUUUAAAUCUUCUUAGCGAGGAACAAUUAGAGGGC
RNAcentral lists this ribosomal RNA (490 nucleotides) under uncultured eukaryote. Its description in RNAcentral is "SSU rRNA". It matches the Rfam family "Eukaryotic small subunit ribosomal RNA", at positions 59 to 556 of the family's 1831-position model. The record is from RNAcentral.